UGUUUCCUUGACUGGUUCCUUAUCUCAUCUGCCUCUUGGACCCUUAACAUGACCCUGCUGUUCCUGGCUCUCCUACCUGAAUCGCAUUUGCCCUCCAGCUCUGGCUGCUAAGCCACACCCGUCAGGGCCCCAGGGAAGGAAGGGUCGUGUAUUUUGGACCAAGGCCAGCUUCUUGCUCAUCUCCCUCAAAAUGUACGGAAGAGGCUUUAGUGGUCCACACCUGUAAUCCCCCCAGCACUGGUGUUAGGAAGUUUAAGGUUAUGGCCUGCCUGGACCAUGUAAAAGGGAAAUGUGUGAUCCUGCUUCGGAGCCUUGGACCCGGAGGCCUGGAGUGUCUUGAAAUGCAGCCCUUGGGCUGGAGCGCCGCUCAGCUCUGUGUUCAAGGGUGCUUCCACUCUUGAGAGAACCUCAGUUCAUUUCAGAGUACUUUACGUGGGGUGGCUCAUGACAGUUGGCACCCCCAGUUCCAGGGGAUCCAGCUUCUGGCACCCACACAGAAUUGGCAUACAUUUACUCAGACACAUUAACAAAAAUAUUUUAAGAAAUUUAUACCUAUGCAUAUGAACGUUUGGUCCGUAUGCAUAUCCAUGUAUCAUGUGCUCUGUGCCCAAGAUGGUCAGAAAAGGGCGUCGGAUGUCCUGGAAGGACAGAAAGAUGGUUUCGAACCGACAUGUGGGUGCUGGGAACCAACCCUGGGUCAUCUGCAAGAGCAGCAAGUGCUCUUAGCCACCAAGCCAUCUUUCCAGCCCCAAUAAAACUUAUGUCUUAAAGGAA
This 774-nucleotide long non-coding RNA is filed under the name Rattus norvegicus (Norway rat). RNAcentral's name for it is "long non-coding RNA NONRATT002400". Lineage: Eukaryota; Metazoa; Chordata; Mammalia; Rodentia; Muridae. The record is from RNAcentral.